GUCUGUAGUAUCAGUCGAUUGUUCUACAGCGGACUGGAGGCGCGGUAGUAGUUGCCGCAAGCACUAGCGGCUCCAGAGUAACCAUGCGCGGCUGUAGCUCCGGGUUUCAGAGGCAGGCGAGAGAGAGGCGCCUCUGAAAGGCACUAAUUGCUCUGCUCCAGAAAGAGAAGCAAGGAAGGACGCAAGGAGAGGAGAGAAGAGGGGGUGGGGGCGUGUACAUUUGUCACAGAGACCGGGGCUCUCUCUUUGAGCUGCUAAGAGGGUCAAAGAGCCAACAAGAGCCGAGGAGGAAGAGGGGGGCUGUGGUGGAAUUGGAGAGAGUGGGACGGUAGGAUGGGGAGAGUAGUGGGGAGGGGGAGCGUAAGAAGCCCCCUAGUGCUUCAGCUUUGGUGGUGGAGACCUGACGAAUAAAAUAACAAAAGCAAAAAGGAGACAAUAACGCAACAAAAACCAAGGCAGUAUUUAACCAAGGGGGUGGCGCAGAGGACUGGAGAAUUCAUCCGGGCAAGAAGGGGGUGGUUUUCACAGAGAGCAGUGUCUGCGUACAGUGCCGCGCACCAAGACGCAGUUUGGAGCCCGGAUCUCCUUUUCUUUUCCUCUUUCUGUGACGCUGGGAGCGUGGCUACACAGCCAGCCUCCCCCCCGUCCCCCCCAAAUGCAGGCUCCUGUGUGUGGCCAUGCUUCUCCGCUGAGGACCCAAAAGCAUGCUGGAUGUCACCCAGCUCCUCACACGCCUUAGGGUGGGCUGCCUCUGUCUCUCUCUCCCCCUCUGCAGAUAAGUGCCAGCAGCACCCUUGCCAGGUUGGGCGAGCGUCAUGGCCAUGGGCCCAACGGUCAUUAGUAUUGAGGAGGUGCGGGCGCUAGAGAGCAAGGAGGAGCAGGAGGAGUCCAUCUUGGCCCUGCUGGGAAUCGUUGGCACCUUCCUUAACCUCUUCGUCAUUGUCUUUGUUUACAUCUACACCGUUGUGUGAGCCAGAGUGGGAGUGAUCCCCCAAACGACAAGGCACAAACCAAGCUUCCAUCUAACCCCAACAAACGUAUACUGGAUUGUACAUGCCAAGCUCCUCCUCCCUCUAACUAGGUAUUAGUUAUAAAAAAGGUGCAAACGGCAAGAUAUUAAAACAGGAGGGGGGAGCAGUUUCCUCACACAGAGAUUGAGGGUGGACAGUUCCGUGGGAGGUGGCGUCUCACAGCCAUGAACCAGAGAGAUAAUAGUGAGCUGGUGGAGACAUCAGGACCAUGGCUGUGCUGGAUCCAGGAGGGGGCGAUAGACAGGGUUGGGCUGCAGGCCAGCACAGCCUGGGGGGAACUAACUUCACCUUGGACUCAUUAGAAUGAGGGAAACGGACAGUGUUACCGACCAAUCUCCUUUGUCAAGUGGAUUAAAAAAACAGACAAAGGGAUAUUGACGUCACUG
Molecule: long non-coding RNA, 1417 nt
Filed under: Salmo trutta (river trout)
Lineage: Eukaryota; Metazoa; Chordata; Actinopteri; Salmoniformes; Salmonidae
Description: lncRNA (ENSSTUG00000002774.1)
Source: RNAcentral